This 256-nucleotide ribosomal RNA is filed under the name uncultured Ponticaulis sp. RNAcentral describes it as "partial 16S ribosomal RNA". It matches the Rfam family "Bacterial small subunit ribosomal RNA", at positions 355 to 628 of the family's 1533-position model. The record is from RNAcentral. Lineage: Bacteria; Pseudomonadati; Pseudomonadota; Alphaproteobacteria; Hyphomonadales; Hyphomonadaceae.
UGGGGAAUCUUGCACAAUGGGCGAAAGCCUGAUGCAGCCAUGCCGCGUGAAUGAUGAAGGCCUUAUGGUUGUAAAAUUCUUUCGCUAGGGACGAUAAUGACGGUACCUAGUAAAGAAGCCCCGGCUAACUUCGUGCCAGCAGCCGCGGUAAUACGAAGGGGGCUAGCGUUGUUCGGAAUUACUGGGCGUAAAGCGCGCGUAGGCGGACUAUCAAGUUGGAUGUGAAAUCCCAGGGCUCAACUCUGGAACUGCAUUC